Ipomoea nil (Japanese morning glory) is the source of this 110-nucleotide long non-coding RNA. RefSeq lists it as uncharacterized. The record is from RefSeq and is a predicted model, not a curated record. The transcript has 3 exons. Lineage: Eukaryota; Viridiplantae; Streptophyta; Magnoliopsida; Solanales; Convolvulaceae.
GCUCCACUUCAACCAUUUCAAACAUCUAUCAAUCAACAAUGGAAAACUGCAUAAUUUCGAGGGAUGUUAUGAUUGAGAUUCUAGCGAGGUUAUCAGUAAGGUCACUUAUG